CAGCAGGACGAUGGCCACGGAAGUCAGAAUCCGCUAAGGAGUGUAUAACAACUCACCUGCCAA
Molecule: non-coding RNA, 63 nt
Filed under: Pan troglodytes (chimpanzee)
Lineage: Eukaryota; Metazoa; Chordata; Mammalia; Primates; Hominidae
Description: Eukaryotic large subunit ribosomal RNA
Rfam family: Eukaryotic large subunit ribosomal RNA
Source: Rfam by way of RNAcentral